RNAcentral lists this small RNA (74 nucleotides) under Vibrio cholerae. RNAcentral describes it as "PtaRNA1". It matches the Rfam family "Plasmid transferred anti-sense RNA". The record is from RNAcentral. Lineage: Bacteria; Pseudomonadati; Pseudomonadota; Gammaproteobacteria; Vibrionales; Vibrionaceae. RNAcentral also lists the same sequence under 1 other name.
UUGUCAUGUUAUACCUCUCAGGAAGGUUAAUGUGAAAAUGCGGGCCGGUGUUGCGAGCACCGGCCUGUGUGUCU